RNAcentral lists this ribosomal RNA (253 nucleotides) under uncultured bacterium. RNAcentral describes it as "partial 16S ribosomal RNA". It matches the Rfam family "Bacterial small subunit ribosomal RNA", at positions 524 to 776 of the family's 1533-position model. The record is from RNAcentral.
CACGUAGGGGGCAAGCGUUGUUCGGAAUUACUGGGCGUAAAGGGCAUGUAGGCGGUCCUGUAAGCCUGGCGUGAAAGGCUGCGGCUCAACCGUAGCACUGCGCUGGGAACUGCGGGACUGGAGUCACGGAGGGGGAGCUAGAAUUCCGGGUGUAGGGGUGAAAUCUGUAGAUAUCCGGAAGAAUACCAGUGGCGAAGGCGAGCUCCUGGCCGAUGACUGACGCUGAGGUGCGAAAGCGUGGGGAGCAAACAGG